RNAcentral lists this ribosomal RNA (194 nucleotides) under uncultured bacterium. Its description in RNAcentral is "partial 16S ribosomal RNA". It matches the Rfam family "Bacterial small subunit ribosomal RNA", at positions 338 to 524 of the family's 1533-position model. The record is from RNAcentral.
CCUACGGGAGGCAGCAGUGGGGAAUAUUGGACAAUGGGGGCAACCCUGAUCCAGCAAUGCCGCGUGUGUGAAGAAGGCCUGCGGGAUGUAAAGCACUUUCGGAUGGGUAGAAAAGCUUAAGGCUAAUAUCCUUGAGUCUUGACGUUACUAUCAGAAGAAGCACCGGCUAACUCUGUGCCAGCAGGCGCGGUAAU